RNAcentral lists this ribosomal RNA (468 nucleotides) under uncultured bacterium. Its description in RNAcentral is "partial 16S ribosomal RNA". It matches the Rfam family "Bacterial small subunit ribosomal RNA", at positions 28 to 507 of the family's 1533-position model. The record is from RNAcentral.
GACGAACGCUGGCGGCGUGCUUAACACAUGCAAGUCGAACGGAAAGGCCCUGCUUUCGUGGGGUGCUCGAGUGGCGAACGGGUGAGUAACACGAGAGUAACCUGCCCUUUACUUUGGGAUAACUUCAGGAAACUGGGGCUAAUACCGGAUCGGAGCUCCUGCUGCAUGGUGUGGGUUGGAAAGAUUCGGCGGUUGGGGAUGGACUCGCGGCUUCUCAGCUUGUUGGUGGGGUAGUGGCUUACCAAGGCUUUGACGGGUAGCCGGCCUGAGAGGGUGACCGGCCACAUUGGGACUGACCUACCGCCCAGCCUCCUCCGGGAUGCAGCGGUGGAGAAUAUUGCACUAGGGGCGGAAGCCUGAUGCGGCAACGCCGCGUCCGGGAUGACGGCCUUCAAGUUGCAAACCGCUUUCGCCUGUGACGAAGCUUGAGUGCCGUUAAUAGGUAAUGAUGACCCCGCUGACUACGUG